RNAcentral lists this ribosomal RNA (497 nucleotides) under uncultured bacterium. RNAcentral's name for it is "partial 16S ribosomal RNA". It matches the Rfam family "Bacterial small subunit ribosomal RNA", at positions 28 to 507 of the family's 1533-position model. The record is from RNAcentral.
GAUGAACGCUGGCGGCGUGCCUAAUACAUGCAAGUCGAGCGAACAGACGAGGAGCUUGCUCCUCUGACGUUAGCGGCGGACGGGUGAGUAACACGUGGAUAACCUACCUAUAAGACUGGGAUAACUUCGGGAAACCGGAGCUAAUACCGGAUAAUAUAUUGAACCGCAUGGUUCAAUAGUGAAAGACGGUCUUGCUGUCACUUAUAGAUGGACCCGCGCCGCAUUAGCUAGUUGGUAAGGUAACGGCUUACCAAGGCGACGAUGCGUAGCCGACCUGAGAGGGUGAUCGGCCACACUGGAACUGAGACACGGUCCAGACUCCUACGGGAGGCAGCAGUAGGGAAUCUUCCGCAAAGGGCGAAAGCCUGACGGAGCAACGCCGCGUGAGUGAUGAAGGUCUUCGGAUCGUAAAACUCUGUUAUUAGGGAAGAACAAAUGUGUAAGUAACUAUGCACGUCUUGACGGUACCUAAUCAGAAAGCCACGGCUAACUACGUG